RNAcentral lists this small RNA (910 nucleotides) under uncultured Mortierella. Its description in RNAcentral is "eukaryotic LSU rRNA". The stretch from base 626 to 910 matches the Rfam family "Eukaryotic large subunit ribosomal RNA", at positions 1 to 281 of the family's 3401-position model. Lineage: Eukaryota; Fungi; Mortierellomycota; Mortierellomycetes; Mortierellales; Mortierellaceae. The record is from RNAcentral.
CUUGGUCAUUUAGAGGAAGUAAAAGUCGUAACAAGGUUUCCGUAGGUGAACCUGCGGAAGGAUCAUUCACAAACGAGUGUUUUAUGGCACUCUUUAAAAAUCCAUAUCCACCUUGUGUGCAAUGUUUGUUGGGAAAGUCUUUUCUUUCCCUUCAUAAAUAUCAACCUAUAUCUUUAACAACAUUCGUCCGAUAACAUAUUAUGAAUAUACUUAAUUCAAAAUAUAACUUUCAACAACGGAUCUCUUGGCUCUCGCAUCGAUGAAGAACGCAGCGAAAUGCGAUACGUAAUGUGAAUUGCAGAAUUCAGUGAAUCAUCGAAUCUUUGAACGCAUAUUGCGCUCUUUGGUAUUCCGAAGAGCAUGCUUGUUUGAGUAUCAGUAAACACCUCAACCUCUCUUUUUUGAUAAAAAAAAGGGAGGGUGGACUUGAGCUAUCCCAACGACCUUCACCGGUAGGCGGGCGGCUUGAAAUGCAGGUGCAGCUGGACUUUUAUCUGAGCUAAAAGCAUAUCUAUUUAGUCCUCGUCAAACAGGAUUAUUACUUUUGCUGCAGCUAACAUAAAGGAUAAUUGUCCUCUUUGCUGACUGAUGCAGGAUUUUACGACACUUUAUGUGUUGUUCAACUCGAUCUCAAAUCAAGUAAGACUACCCGCUGAACUUAAGCAUAUCAAUAAGCGGAGGAAAAGAAACUAACAAGGAUUCCCCUAGUAACGGCGAGUGAAGCGGGAUGAGCUCAAAUUUGAAAUCUGGCUGGUUUACUAGUCCGAGUUGUAAUUUAAAGAAGCGUUUUCGGUGGCAGCCUGGGUAUAAAUCCUUUGGAAUAGGGUAUCAUAGAGGGUGAGAAUCCCGUCUUUGACCUAGUGCAUGCUACUAUGUGAUACGUUUUCAAAGAGUCGAGUUGUUUGGGAAU